Molecule: non-coding RNA, 74 nt
Organism: Galeopterus variegatus (Sunda flying lemur)
Lineage: Eukaryota; Metazoa; Chordata; Mammalia; Dermoptera; Cynocephalidae
Source: the annotation of a RefSeq genome assembly
GGCUGGUUAGCUCAGAUGGUAGAGCGUGGCACUGACAACACCAAGGUCAAGGGUUCAGAUCCCCUUACUGGCCA